Strigops habroptila (Kakapo) is the source of this 2075-nucleotide long non-coding RNA. RefSeq lists it as uncharacterized. NCBI's taxonomy places the organism in Eukaryota, Metazoa, Chordata, Aves, Psittaciformes, Psittacidae. The transcript has 4 exons. The record is from RefSeq and is a predicted model, not a curated record.
CAGGUAAAACCAAGGAACUCAUUAGACAGUUGAAAAUCACCCAAUGGUACAGAUUGUUCUUCUCAGAGCACAAGACCUUCAUGAACAGGCACAGAAACAAAGUGAAACCGUUUUUCUCUGCCCUAUUACUGUGCAGCUAUCCCAAGCAAUCUUGUAUAACUCUGUUUUAGAAAGACAUGUGGUAACCUAAGUUUCAUAAUUCUUCAUAUCAGACAGAUGUGAGAUAACAUAUUUAAAAGCUGUGAAUAGACAAAAGUUCCAUCAAUUUGAGGUGUAUGGGUUUUGCUUUCAGACACCUAAAAGGUCUGAAAAAACAUUUAGGAGUCCAGUGUGUGUCCUAGGUAUCUAAACUGUAUACGCAACCUACAAAUCCUAAUUCCCUAAUUAAACAGAAGAACCACAGGCACUUUUUUCCACCAGUGAAGGUGGUACUUAGUCACCUAGAAUAUUGCUUAUUUUUUAUGAUUAGUAUUGCUAAUUGACAGCAGUUUGUGCACAUCUGAAUUUCCCAAAGUAGAUUAUCCCACAUGCAGGUUUUAUGAGUGUUGUGCAUGAGAAAACCUGCACGUGUAUUCAUGUGCAAGUUUUCUAACUGCAGGGCUAGGCUAAAAGCAUAGCUCCUGCAUACUUACAGCUCACCCGUGGCAUCUCCAGCCACCUUAACCGAAAACAUUCAAUUGAUGAAGCUGGUUCCAUGAAUCUUUAGAACAGUAAAUCUUUGGGUCAAAACACUCAUUCAGGAGUGGCAGCCUGAGGUGCAGAAAUGCUCUAGAUAUAUUGCAGAUUUCCCAUGAAAACCAGAAUUUAUGGUGCCACUAUUUGCCAAAAUGCAGAUUAAUUUUCUUUUAAACUCACUAAAACUAUCAGGGAAUGUAGUCAAUAGCAGUAAGUUAUUUAUGGAUGUUUUCAGGAUACAUAGUGUACCCCUGAGCCUAGAAGUCCCACUCGUUACACAAAUGUUCUCACUACUAAGCUAUUACAAAAAAGUGGCAUACUUGGACCUUUUAAAAGAAUAGAUUAACCAGGCUCCCACACCAAAUGGAAAAGUUAUGAUGUCAAGGAUGUGUGUGAGACUGUUACCCAUGUUUUCAUAAAAGCACCUGGUGUAUUGUUGUAGGCAGUGCCUAAAUCUAGAAGCAGAGUGGCUCUUUCUCCAUCACUGCUCUUGUUUGCUGGUGUAUAUGUCGUCUUCUAUGUACUGUCUUCUGUGCAUGCUGUUAUCAAUAGCGUAACUCACAGCACAGUGGUUUUGCCAUAUUCUGCAAUUAAAGACUUCAGUGCCUGAUUCCACUCAAUUAAGGUGCUUCAAAUACUGGUAAGCAUGCUACUCUGGACUACGGAGGCCUAUUAACUGUACUGAGAGUCUGACUGCAGGAUGGUACUGAGUGAAAUCUUUCUCCUUAAACGUAUACAUCGAUAGGAAGGCAGCAGCUGGAAUAUUUUUAAAUAAAUACUUUUAAAGAAAUACAGGCUCUUUUAUCCUUGGGAAAAAGGAAAGUGCUUGUGUGAGCGGACAAAACACAGGAAAUUGAAUUGUUAUGGGGAUUAUCAAACUUGCAUUAUGAGCCUGCUUUCCCUACAGAAGGCCAGAGUGCAAUCAAACCGUAAGACACCAGCCUUUGCAGGCAUUUGCCAAACAUUUCCGAAGGGACUGCAGCACAGCCACAUCUACAUAAAAGCGAACAUUGCUUUUCUGCUUCUGCUGUCAUCAACAGUUAUCUUCCAACGCAGACUCCAUGUCCAAGCUAACAAGGUCCUUGUGACAAUUCGGCAUGUGCCGCAUCUUCUCUAAGACGGGCUACUUCACCUAUGUUGUGACCCUGGUAGCAAAAAAGAGAUGAUUUGAAGUAAAAUAUUAUGCCAUAUGAUCUCAAGAAGAAAGAUCUGAGACUGAAAAUUUAUGAUGUAUUUCUACUUCCUAUUGCACAUGUAGAUCCAAAAUGCAUUUUCAGACUACGGACUGUUCUCUGAUGCAACAAAAUCUGAUUUUACAGACCUGAAUGAAGCCAUCAGAUAUUGUUACAUAUUAGGAUAUGUGCAGAGCAUGGAAAUAUACUAUUUGUAGUUCAGAAUAA